This 77-nucleotide transfer RNA is filed under the name Bacteroidota bacterium. RNAcentral's name for it is "Bacteroidetes bacterium (groundwater metagenome) tRNA-Ala". It matches the Rfam family "tRNA". From Rfam's summary of the family: Transfer RNA (tRNA) molecules are approximately 80 nucleotides in length. The record is from RNAcentral. Lineage: Bacteria; Pseudomonadati; Bacteroidota.
GGGGCUGUAGCUCAGUUUGGGAGAGCGCUUCGUUCGCAACGAAGAGGUCGUCGGUUCGAUCCCGAUCAGCUCCACAA